This is a non-coding RNA of Cyanistes caeruleus (blue tit), 639 nucleotides long. The record is from RefSeq and is a predicted model, not a curated record. NCBI's taxonomy places the organism in Eukaryota, Metazoa, Chordata, Aves, Passeriformes, Paridae.
UGUGAUGGCUCACAAAGCAAAACAGUGAUCUCCAGGAAGCAAGCAAGAUAGCAUCCAGACUGCUUGCAGUUAACCCAUCUCUGCCUGAACUAGAAAACUAUCUAUGAAAAUUGCAGAAUUAAAGUGUUAAGAAAGAUCACUGCUGGAAACUGUUGCUUCAGGGAAAGUGAAAAUAUUCUCGCAGUUAGAAGUCUUGAGGUACUCUCUCAAAGCAUUUCUGGAGUUCAAACCAGCAUACAGUCUAGCAAAGUCACUUUCUAAAAUAAGAUCUUUGAAAUAGGCAGUCUCUUGCUGUCCUGUCCUCUCCUGUUCUUCUUCUGCAAGUCAGAGAAAUCCCUCUCUAGCAAACUUGCUCCAUUUCUUCUGCAUUUUGCCUGGAUAACUCUCCUAGCAAUUCUCGUACCCAGUUCAGAAGUUGGCAAGAGGUGAGGAAUCGAGAGAGAGCUGGAUUUGCCACCAGAAUUUAGAUAAUGUUUUGCUGUAUGCUGGUAGGCUGCCUCAUGGCACCUGGCCUCACGGCAAGAACAGCCCCAGGGGUUCAUGUAGGCAUGGCAUUCAUGGGCCUGCAUAGUUGAAUCACCAGUCUGUCCAGCAAGACAUAACUUUAAUUACCAUAGAGGUCAUUAAAACUCAGCACCA